AGAUGGACGUCUCAUCAGAGAAGUGAUCUAAGAGAGAUUUGUGGAAGUGCUGACAUUUCUAAAGCAUCAGCUGGCAUUUCUUCUGAAGUGAAGCCUGCCCUGGGGAGGAAAAGCGAUGAUUAUUUAACAGGGCUCAGACAGCAGUGGAUUAGGAGAGCAUUGCCAGGCACGGAAAUAACAAGAGAAACAUGGCUUGGCGAGAAAAGCCAUUAGGCAAAGGGCAAGUGGCUUCCUGGAGGUGUCCCAGGUUUAUGUUCAGCAAUGAAUGCCAGGUGCUACAUGAGUCUUGGAAAAACAGACUAUUUAGACAUAGAACCUGAACUGAACAGCCACCUAAGGCUUGCAGUCUACAGGGGCGCUGACUCAUCACCAGACCAUCAUGGUGCAAUAUGGUGAGCUGGCCUCAACCGUGGUGCUUUCUGAGCCAAAGCAUCAGGAAGGAAAAACAGGCUUGCUUUAGAGAACAUCAUAUUCUUUGAGGAUCUUGAGAAGAAAGGCUCCAUUGCUUCAUUUCCGUACAGACUUUAUAUGUAAUUGGACCAGUACUGCCCAGCGGAGCUUUUAUGGAGGAUCCAGACGGCUGAUGAGAGGUGAAAGUGCAUCCCCAAUGAGAAGCCUGCAGGGUAGAGGUACUCAGAAUCUCGGCAGAGCCAAUGGCACAUGUUAGAAAACAGCAGUUCAUCAAACCCUUUGGCUUUCAUAUUAUGAUAUAUAAAAAUAAAGCUCCGCUAAAUCUUUGU
This 740-nucleotide long non-coding RNA is filed under the name Bos grunniens (domestic yak). RNAcentral describes it as "lncRNA (ENSBGRG00000004391.1)". Lineage: Eukaryota; Metazoa; Chordata; Mammalia; Artiodactyla; Bovidae. The record is from RNAcentral.